RNAcentral lists this unclassified non-coding RNA (206 nucleotides) under uncultured Laccaria. RNAcentral describes it as "sequence contains ITS2". Lineage: Eukaryota; Fungi; Basidiomycota; Agaricomycetes; Agaricales; Tricholomataceae. The record is from RNAcentral.
AAUUCUCAACCUUCCAACUUUUAUUAGCUUGGUUAGGCUUGGAUGUGGGGGUUGCGGGCUUCAUUAACGAGGUCGGCUCUCCUUAAAUGUAUUAGCGGAACUUUUGUGGACCGUCUAUUGGUGUGAUAAUUAUCUACGCCGUGGAUGUGAAGCAGCUUUAUGAAGUUCAGCUUCUAACCGUCCCUUGACUUGGACAAUUCUUGACA